RNAcentral lists this long non-coding RNA (1441 nucleotides) under Numida meleagris (helmeted guineafowl). RNAcentral describes it as "lncRNA (ENSNMEG00000008045.1)". The record is from RNAcentral. Lineage: Eukaryota; Metazoa; Chordata; Aves; Galliformes; Numididae.
UUUGCUGAAGCCACUGUGCCGCCACUGGACCCCGCCUGGAUGCAGCCCACCAUCCGCGGACCAGUGCCGGUACCACCCCGACCCCUCCCUGUCCCCGCUGCUGUGGGGACACAUCCCCUCCCCUGCCUGGUGCCCCAGGCCUCUGUCUGGCCUGGGGUGCCAGGCAUCCAGGGGCAGGUAGUGCAGCUCCCACCUGGCGGGCUGCUCCUACCUAGGGGCCAGCUGCACCCUGGUACGGCUCCUCCCUGUGUCCCCGUCCACCGCUGGGGACGUCCCCCGCUGGCGGGGAUGCUGCUGCCCCAGCAGCCAACGGGACUGGGGCCCGGGGCUGCGUUCCAUGCGGAGCCCCUGCAGCCCGCAGGCACCUGCCUGCUGCAGGCCCCCGGCCGCCCCGGCCCCCCGCCAGCUGUUUUUCAGGUGCCUGCACACCAGGGCCAGGUGCUCCCUGUGCCCUGCACCCUGCCUGGCAGCUGGCACCUGCUGAUGGAGCCUUGUGAAGACACCGUGGUGCUCAGGGAGGAUCGGGGGCACCCAGCGCCCACCAUCAGAUGCCCUCGGACAGAAACAGCUCCACUCACAUGCAGCACCACGACUCUGGAACCUGAUGCGAUGAGCAGCUCCGACGUGCCAGAUGACAUCGUGGACAUGGAGGCUCUGCUCACCUGGAGCAAUGAUGUGCCGAGGGCUGUCGAGGUUCCCCAGGAGAACCCCGGCAGCCCUGCUUCCCCUUGUUUCAUCGCUGAGCUCCCUGACAACCCCAGCGACAGCAGAGAGCUCAGCACGGAGGGACAGGCUGCCACCAGGACCCCCAGUGACCCCUUCUGGGGGCUUCCACCAUCCCCUGGGCUCCUGCCUGAGAUGCAGCAUGGGUUGGCGCCGCUGCCCCUCGUCGUGCCACCAGCAAAUCCCCGGCCGGCCCCCCUGGUUGUCACCAAACCUCCUUCACCCCUCACAGCACAGCCCAUGGAGGAGGUGCAGAAAAGGCAGCCCCAGGGGGUUCAGACCCACCCGCCAGCGUCACCGGGCUCUGUCCCCUGCCGGGCGGCGGGCAAGAAACGCAAGGGCAGCACCAAGCGGGCCAAGCACCCUGCGCCUGCCAGCACCCCCCAGAAAGGGGAGACCUCCAGCCACAAGCAGCCCACCAGUGGAGCCCCAGUCAAGAAACGAAAGCUGCCACCACGGAAGGAGAGAAAAGGCUGCAAACACCCACGUGGAGCGAAGCUGGCUGGGGUCAGCGCAGGAGCCAGCAGCAGCAGACAAGCGGGCACCUCCAGCGAGCUGCGCAGACACUUGCUAGAAUCCAUCCAGGCCCUACACCCGCUGGGGCAGAGGGUGACUGUGGUGGGGCCGGUACGCCAGCCACCCUCUGAGCAGCCCCAACCCACACCCAGCGCUGGGCCUGCUGCCCUCCAGCCCCGAGACAGCGGCACGGACAAGGCAG